GGACUAUAUUCGGUUUUGACUAUCAUCAAGUGCGUGUUUUCAAACUUUCUCUCAGUGCGUGGUGGCAGGUGCCUAUAAGCAGCCAUUCGCGUAGCCUCCACUACCCCACCCCCAGUGAAGUGUAGCUCGAUCCUCUCCGUGCGCUCGCUGUCGGAUAAUCGAUCAACCGUCUCUACCAUAGAUGCAGGCAGAAGGACUGGCAAAACAGAACAUUCCGCCGAGUGCAAUCUCUAACGUUUGACGUUUUGCGCCCCCCCCCCCCUCAUUAAUUAAACAAACCAAAUGGCUUUUGCAAACCAUGCACAUUUGAUUCCCGAACUGAAGCUCGAAGAGGCUGAGGGGGAGUGUUUGACGAGGAGCAUCAGUCUGGGCCAAUUGCAGCGUUUACAUCAACGAAGCAAGCCGCCUUCACCGACUGGGUCUAAAUCGAGAGGACACAGGUUGUGGAUCCUGAAGGGCACCUCUGAAUUGCUGCUUGGCCUGGGAAAGGCAGCGGAAGGUGGGGGUUGGAGUGGCUGGGACCCUCUUCACUGCUUAUGGUCUGAGGACAGAGUGGGCCAAGCAGCCCUAACUGGCAGACUGGUCUCAAGACCUAAGGUCAGCACAGACCUUGUGUUCCAACCAAAAAACAUGGUCAGGAUUUGGCUGCUGAGGUCAUUCAUAAUAUUGUAAAAAAAAACUGUUUUAAUAAAAUGUUCUGUCUGCCAGCAAGAGGGGAGUGAACCCUUUUAACAUUAAAGGUUACACAGGUUGUGAGCUAG
Molecule: long non-coding RNA, 761 nt
Organism: Esox lucius (northern pike)
Lineage: Eukaryota; Metazoa; Chordata; Actinopteri; Esociformes; Esocidae
Source: Ensembl